RNAcentral lists this transfer RNA (73 nucleotides) under Bos taurus (domestic cattle). It matches the Rfam family "tRNA". From Rfam's summary of the family: Transfer RNA (tRNA) molecules are approximately 80 nucleotides in length. Their secondary structure includes four short double-helical elements and three loops (D, anti-codon, and T loops). Lineage: Eukaryota; Metazoa; Chordata; Mammalia; Artiodactyla; Bovidae. The record is from Rfam by way of RNAcentral.
UCUUUGGUGGUCCAGUGGUUAAGACUCUGCAUUUCCAAUGCAGCAGGUGUGGGUUUGAUCCCUGGUUGGGGAA